CUGGGUUUCCUGCGCGCCUCAAGUCUCCUUUUUAUUUCACCUCGGGGAAAAUGGAGGCGGGGGUGUGAAAGAAAGAGAGGAAGAAAGAAAGAACAAGGGGGGUGGGGUGGGGGGGGACGACAGAAGGCAGGCCACAUCCCAGCAGCCCUCCUGCCCCCCGCGUCUCCAUCGCCAGCCCCAAGCCAGAACAGAUUUGAGUGGAGCUGCCCUGGCUCUAUCAUCUGCGGCGUGCAGAGUCAUCACGGCCGCGGUGCAUAGCUGAGAGCCGGAAAGCAAACAGCUGCUGUAGCCUGAUUUGAGUUAAAAUAGUGUCAGUGUUUAGUCUGGCGCACUGCUUCAGGAGAGAUUGGCAGCUGGGUCAAACAAAGUCAUUCCAUUGGCUCCCUUCCCAGCCAGCUUCUGCUAGUAUUUAGGUACUAGUGCAGCCUAGGCCCCUUUUCUCAGGGAUAGCCUAACAUCUGACCGCACCCUCCUUGCUGUUUAAAAAAUGCCUUUUCACUCUUUAAGAUAAAUCCACUAUUAGACAAUCUGCCACUAAUAGUGCAGUAAGGCUGUUUUUCUCCCGAAAGCCGACGCAUCCCGCUCCCGCCGCAGUGCAGAAAGCAGGCUGUUACAGUGCCGGAUUCAUAAAAGGGGCCUUUAUGGCUGGUGAAAGAAUAUCUGUGUGCUUAGGCCGGAAACUUUUUGAUCCAGUGCAAAGCCAGACGACACCUAGAGCAAGAGAAGCCAACUUUAGGAGCAUGCUCAUACCCUCAGUGGAGGAGUGGGAAUUUAUCAUCUGUACAUCCUCCUGCGGGAAGAGGAGAGUAAACCAGCACCGUCCCUCAUGGACUUGGCAAGUCUGGCCAGGGGGCCAGGGCAAUGAACCCAACAUUGCAUUUAUUUGGACCUGGCAUGCUCAGAAGAGUAGUAGUAUGUGGUGCACAGGUAAAUCAUACAUGCCAGGGCCCCAAGAAAAUCCAUUCCCUGCCUCCCACUGAUGCGUAGCUGUCUUGGGUUGGGGCACAAGUGUCCAGUCUUGAAGAGAGCUGUGUGAAACCUCAGUGGAGACCACCCUCUUCUCUGAAACUGAAUUUUCUCUGGCCCUGCUGCUUCACAGCCCUGCUUCUGCCCAGCCCUGAUGAUUUGGGCACCACCUUAACACCAACCCUGUCCUGUCCUGCCCCGUCCCGGCUGGGCCUGGGGCCUGCAGCAGUGCUUGGGGAUGGCCGGGCUGUGGCCAGCCCUGGUCACUAUCCCCAGCCCAGCCCAGGUUGCUUCGCUGGAGCUGCAGGAUGAGGCUGGUUGAGGAGGGAGGCACUGCACUGCCCUAGUGGCCCUGGGCCUUGACCCUGCAGCCCCACAGCCCCAGUGGAGUAGGGUAGGGUGUGCAGAAGAUGGUUCUUUUUUGCAGUCCAGAGUGACACUUGGGCCACGCUGGAGGCAACACAAGGUUUCUCUUAGAUCAGUCUUUUGGUCCUAGCUCUGAGUUUUCUCUUCUUUUCCUUGGCUAUAUUGAAGCAGUUUUGUAAAUAAUCGAGUCUGAGAAUGCUAACGCUAAUUCAAAAAGAAGUAAGCUCUAAUGCUAGAAUGUCUUUGUAGAUACAGCAACAUUGAGUAUACCCUAGAGCUUCAGUCUCCACAAAUACAUUGGGUAAUGGUCUUUUUUUUUUUUUUUUUUGUAUUUAAGCUUUUCUGUUGGUAGUCUGAGCUUUUGACUUUGCAGAAAACAAUCCACCAUAAGUUUUUUUUCUCCACUGCUGUGGGAGGACACCACAGCAUCCUGAUGCUGUGAAUCCUUACCUUCCACAACCCCCACAGUCUGCAUCAUUCAUCUCCUCCUCCACCUGUCAAGGUUUCCUUGCAUUCUUGGCAAUGACUACAGAGGAAAUUAAAGGCUUUAUUUCCAGCCUAGCUUCAGAUGUCACAAAUAUGGAGGCCAGUUUCUGAAAAAUCCAGUUCUAAAAUCUCCAGUGUUUAUUGUUUUCUGUGCUUACCAGCCAAGAUCUUCUCCCUGAUGUGGCAAAAUACUGCCAUCUGUAAGAUACGUCAAGCUAUAUGUUAAUGUGUUGGUACUUGCAAAUGCCAUAAGCUAAUUCAUGGGCUUGCUGUGGUUUAAGAUGUGGUUUAUGAUGUGGUGGUUUAAGAUAUGGUGUGGUUUAAGAUAUGGUUUAAGACUUCAUGGCACAUAGUGGCUUGUUUUUAAUGUUGUUUUUUUUUGUUUGUUUGUUUGUUUGUUUUUUUUGUCUUUAAUUUAGUCUGACCCAGUUUAAGUGUUCCAGCUUGGGACAGGUCCACAAGUUUGGGUAAUUUCAUUUAGACAUACUCUUACACAUAAUUGGACUUUGUGGCUCUAAUCUGUGCAUGGAAACAAGUGAUAAUAUAUAUUGGUAGAAUUAACUUGCCUGUAUUGUUGUAACAUUACAGGAUGUCCUCAGUAGUGUAGCAGUAGUGCUCCUAUACCUUCUUGUAUAGAAUAUUCAUUGUUAAAAGAUGUGCAGAAGUUAAUUGAUCUCAAAACUUACUUUUACUUGAUCAUUACCAAGACAUUUAGCUAUUAAUACACAGUUUCAUGAUGCAUUAAAUGAGUUAGGAACACAAUUAGCCAAUUCUUCCCAUUACCGUGACUUAAAUUUCAUCUGCUUUUUUGGCAUUCUUGAUUUUGUUUUAGUAGUUUAUAAAUGGUAAAGGAAAAAAAGAUAACAGAACUUCAGAUUUCCACCUGUGCAUAUCUGUACUUUGCCAUAGGGACAUGAUUAAACAGGUAGUAUAGGUACAGUCUAAGUUGUUUAAAUGGACUUCACAUCAUCAGGUGUUCUUUUUGUCUUCCCUUGAGAAACUUAGUGUAAAGAAUAUAGACAGUAGACUUGGCUCAGGUUGACUUGAUCAAUUCAUGGUGUGUGGACAGUACCCAGUUUGAAGCAGAUAGCCUGCUUAAUAAACCUCCUGCUAUUUAGAGAGAAUAUUUGUUU
Anser brachyrhynchus (Pink-footed goose) is the source of this 2951-nucleotide long non-coding RNA. Lineage: Eukaryota; Metazoa; Chordata; Aves; Anseriformes; Anatidae. The record is from Ensembl.